UACGUAGGCAGCAAGCGUUGUUCGGAAUUACUGGGCGUAAAGGGCUCGUAGGCGGCCAACUAAGUCCGACGUGAAAUCCUCAGGCUUAACCUGGGAACUGCGUCGGAUACUGGAUGGCUUGAAUUCGGGAGAGGGAUGCAGAAUUCCAGGUGUAGCGGUGAAAUGCGUAGAUAUCUGGAGGAAUACCGGUGGCGAAGGCGGCAUCCUGGACCGACAUUGACGCUGAUGAGCGAAAGCUAGGGGAGCAAACGGG
This 253-nucleotide ribosomal RNA is filed under the name uncultured bacterium. RNAcentral's name for it is "partial 16S ribosomal RNA". It matches the Rfam family "Bacterial small subunit ribosomal RNA", at positions 524 to 776 of the family's 1533-position model. The record is from RNAcentral.